UUUCGCAAUGCCCGAAAGGGUGACGAAGCGACGCCGCGUGAGUGAGGAAGGCCUUCGGGUUGUAAAGCUCUGUCAGGAGUUAAGAAAUAUAAGUGUGCUAAUACCACAUUUAUUUGACAAAAGCUCCAAAGGAAGCCACGGCUAACUCUGUGCCAGCAGCCGCGGUAAUACAGAGGUGGCAAGCGUUGUUCGGAAUUAUUGGGCGUAAAGAGCACGUAGGUGGGUUUGUAAGUCAGAUGUGAAAGCCUUCUGUUCAACGGAAGAAUUGCAUCUGAAACUGCGAGUCUUGAGUGUAGGAGGGGAGAAUGGAACUUCUGGUGGAGCGGUGAAAUGCGUAGACAUCAGAAGGAACGCCGGCGGCGAAAGCGAUUCUCUGGCCUAUUACUGACACUCAGUGUGCGAAAGCUAGGGGAGCAAACGGGAUUAGAUACCCCGGUAGUCCUAGCUGUAAACGAUGGGCACUAAGUAGAGGGGUUUUA
This 479-nucleotide ribosomal RNA is filed under the name uncultured anaerobic ammonium-oxidizing bacterium. Its description in RNAcentral is "bacterial SSU rRNA". It matches the Rfam family "Bacterial small subunit ribosomal RNA", at positions 364 to 833 of the family's 1533-position model. The record is from RNAcentral.